GGCGGCAGGCCUAACACAUGCAAGUCGAGCGGUAGCACAGAGAGCUUGCUCUCGGGUGACGAGCGGCGGACGGGUGAGUAAUGUCUGGGAAACUGCCUGAUGGAGGGGGAUAACUACUGGAAACGGUAGCUAAUACCGCAUAACGUCGCAAGACCAAAGUGGGGGACCUUCGGGCCUCAUGCCAUCAGAUGUGCCCAGAUGGGAUUAGCUAGUAGGUGGGGUAAUGGCUCACCUAGGCGACGAUCCCUAGCUGGUCUGAGAGGAUGACCAGCCACACUGGAACUGAGACACGGUCCAGACUCCUACGGGAGGCAGCAGUGGGGAAUAUUGCACAAUGGGCGCAAGCCUGAUGCAGCCAUGCCGCGUGUGUGAAGAAGGCCUUCGGGUUGUAAAGCACUUUCAGCGGGGAGGAAGGCGUUAAGGUUAAUAACCUUGGCGAUUGACGUUACCCGCAGAAGAAGCACCGGCUAACUCCGUGCCAGCAGCCGCGGUAAUACGGAGGGUGCAAGCGUUAAUCGGAAUUACUGGGCGUAAAGCGCUCGCAGGCGGUCUGUCAAGUCGGAUGUGAAAUCCCCGGGCUCAACCUGGGAACUGCAUUCGAAACUGGCAGGCUAGAGUCUUGUAGAGGGGGGUAGAAUUCCAGGUGUAGCGGUGAAAUGCGUAGAGAUCUGGAGGAAUACCGGUGGCGAAGGCGGCCCCCUGGACAAAGACUGACGCUCAGGUGCGAAAGCGUGGGGAGCAAACAGGAUUAGAUACCCUGGUAGUCCACGCCGUAAACGAUGUCGAUUUGGAGGUUGUGCCCUUGAGGCGUGGCUUCCGGAGCUAACGCGUUAAAUCGACCGCCUGGGGAGUACGGCCGCAAGGUUAAAACUCAAAUGAAUUGACGGGGGCCCGCACAAGCGGUGGAGCAUGUGGUUUAAUUCGAUGCAGCGCGAAGAACCUUACCUGGUCUUGACAUCCACAGAACUUAGCAGAGAUGCUUUGGUGCCUUCGGGAACUGUGAGACAGGUGCUGCAUGGCUGUCGUCAGCUCGUGUUGUGAAAUGUUGGGUUAAGUCCCGCAACGAGCGCAACCCUUAUCCUUUGUUGCCAGCGGUUAGGCCGGGAACUCAAAGGAGACUGCCAGUGAUAAACUGGAGGAAGGUGGGGAUGACGUCAAGUCAUCAUGGCCCUUACGACCAGGGCUACACACGUGCUACAAUGGCAUAUACAAAGAGAAGCGACCUCGCGAGAGCAAGCGGACCUCAUAAAGUAUGUCGUAGUCCGGAUUGGAGUCUGCAACUCGACUCCAUGAAGUCGGAAUCGCUAGUAAUCGUAGAUCAGAAUGCUACGGUGAAUACGUUCCCGGGCCUUGUACACACCGCCCGUCACACCAUGGGAGUGGGUUGCAAAAGAAGUAGGUAGCUUAACCUUCGGGAGGGCGCUUACCACUUUGUGAUUCAUGACUGGGGUGAA
Molecule: ribosomal RNA, 1454 nt
Filed under: uncultured organism
Description: 16S ribosomal RNA
Rfam family: Bacterial small subunit ribosomal RNA
Source: RNAcentral